This 22-nucleotide non-coding RNA is filed under the name Arabidopsis thaliana (thale cress). The record is from RNAcentral. Lineage: Eukaryota; Viridiplantae; Streptophyta; Magnoliopsida; Brassicales; Brassicaceae.
AUCUGUGGACCAAAAUAGAUGG